This 354-nucleotide ribosomal RNA is filed under the name uncultured Fusibacter sp. RNAcentral describes it as "bacterial SSU rRNA". It matches the Rfam family "Bacterial small subunit ribosomal RNA", at positions 1029 to 1382 of the family's 1533-position model. The record is from RNAcentral. Lineage: Bacteria; Bacillati; Bacillota; Clostridia; Eubacteriales; Fusibacteraceae.
UUGAGACAGGUGGUGCAUGGUUGUCGUCAGCUCGUGUCGUGAGAUGUUGGGUUAAGUCCCGCAACGAGCGCAACCCUUGUGUUUAGUUGCAAACAGGUCAAGCUGUGCACUCUAGACAGACUGCCGUGGACAGCACGGAGGAAGGUGGGGAUGACGUCAAAUCAUCAUGCCCCUUAUGAUCUGGGCUACACACGUGCUACAAUGGCCGGUACAACGGGCAGCGAAGGAGCGAUCCGGAGCGAAUCCUAAAAAGCCGGUCCCAGUUCGGAUUGCAGGCUGAAACUCGCCUACAUGAAGUUGGAGUUGCUAGUAAUCGCGAAUCAGAAUGUCGCGGUGAAUGCGUUCCCGGGUCUU